Molecule: RNA transcript, 9985 nt
Organism: Mobula hypostoma (lesser devil ray)
Lineage: Eukaryota; Metazoa; Chordata; Chondrichthyes; Myliobatiformes; Myliobatidae
Gene: sik3
Gene name: SIK family kinase 3
Exons: 29
Source: RefSeq, a predicted model, not a curated record
GCCCGUGAAGCCCCGCCUUCUCUCCCAAUCGGCUUGCGCCUGCUCGCCCGCCCGCUGGUGUUUUCGACAAGAUGGCGUCCAGCGGUGCAGCGAGGAACGGCAGCCUUCAUCAGACCUCGCCGUUACCGCCGCAGCCGCACAAAACUGGGUCGGCCAGAAUCAAUUGCUACGAGAUCGAGAGGACCAUCGGCAAGGGCAACUUCGCUGUGGUCAAGCUCGCCACUCACAUCGUCACCAAAGCUAAAGUUGCUAUAAAGAUAGUAGAUAAGACACAACUGGAAGAGGAAAACUUGAAGAAGAUCUUCAGAGAAGUCCAAAUCAUGAAAAUGUUAAGACACCCUCACAUUAUUAGACUAUAUCAGGUUAUGGAGACAGAAAGAAUGAUUUAUUUGGUGACAGAGUACGCAAGUGGUGGAGAGAUAUUUGAUCACCUUGUGGCCCAUGGACGAAUGGCAGAGAAGGAAGCCAGAAAGAAAUUCAAGCAAAUUGUUGCAGCUGUCCAUUUUUGUCACUGUCGAAACAUUGUACAUAGAGACCUGAAGGCUGAAAACCUACUCCUGGAUGCUAACCUUAACAUAAAGAUUGCAGACUUUGGAUUUAGUAACAUUUUUACACCAGGACAAUUACUGAAAACAUGGUGUGGGAGUCCACCAUAUGCAGCUCCUGAAUUGUUUGAAGGAAAAGAAUAUGAUGGCCCCAAAGUGGAUAUAUGGAGUCUGGGGGUGGUGCUAUAUGUGCUGGUAUGUGGGGCCCUGCCAUUUGAUGGCAACACACUGCAGAACCUGCGGGCCAGGGUACUAAGUGGCAAAUUUCGAAUUCCGUUCUUUAUGUCUACAGAAUGUGAACAUUUGAUUCGACAUAUGCUUGUGCUAGACCCAAGCAAACGCUUGUCUGUGGAACAAAUCUGCAAACAUAAGUGGAUGAAAAUAGGGGAACCAGAUCCAGAGUUUGACCGGUUAAUAACAGAAUCCAAGCAGGUCAAAGUAGAGAUUAAAACAGAGCCUCUGAAUGAACAGGUGCUCAUGUACAUGGCGGAAUUGGGUCUGGAAAGAGAACGCACACUACAGUCAUUGAAGACAGAUGCCUAUGAUCAAUUUAAUGCAAUUUACAGUCUGCUGUGUGACAAACUGAAGCGGCAUAAGACAUUGCGUAUCUCUGCACCGCCAAGUGUUCCUCGCUCUAUGCCCUUUCAGUCACCUGCAAACGUCCAGACUGAGCAGACAGGUAACACAUUAAGUCUGAAUGUGCCACAGGUACAGCUCAUCAAUCCAGAGAACCAGAUAGUGCAGACUGAUGGCAACAUGAAUCUUGAUAGCGAUGAAGGUGAAGAGCCGUCACCAGAAGCGUUGGCGCGAUAUCUCUCCAUGAGAAGACAUACUGUUGGAGUUGCUGACCCUAGAACUGAAGUUCCAGAAGAUCUGCAGAAAUGUCACCUGCCUGGUUUUCCACGUACCGUGCCUCAGGCUCCUUUCCUGCAAGUUGUUCCAAAUGUUAAUUUAAUGCAGAACAUGCCUCCCACACAGAAUUUACAGCCAGCCACACAAUUGGAGUACAAGGAACAAUCCUUACUUCAACCUCCAACUCUACAAUUGCUAAAUGGUAUGGGACCUCUCGGCCGUCGUGCUUCUGAUGGUGGAGCCAACAUCCAGUUGCACGCCCAGCAGUUACUCAAACGUCCAAGAGGCCCUUCACCUUUGGUCACCAUGAAUCCACAUGCUGUGCCAGUUGUGACACCAGUGGAUGAGGAGGGCUCAGAUGGUGAGCCAGACCAGGAAGCUGUGCAAAGGUAUCUGGCUAACAGGUCUAAACGCCACACUCUCGCAAUGACCAAUCCUACAGCUGAGGUCCCCCUAGAUUUGCAGAGGCAGCUGGGACAGCAGCAGGCAAUCCGUUCACGGGCCUGGGUUCCUCACCCUGAGCAGCACAGCCGCGUUUGCUAUAAAGACCCCAACACUCUACACCUUCCAACUGAAAGGUUCUCUCCAGUUCGUCGUUUCUCAGAUGGUGCUGCUAGCAUACAGGCAUUCAAAGCUCAUCUAGAGAAAAUGGAGAAAAGCACAAACACAAACAGUAGCAUAAAGCAGCUGCAGCAGGAAUGUGAACAUUUGCAAAAGAUAUAUGGAAAUGCAAUGGAUGAAAAAAUAUUUGAGAAGACGCAACAACAGCACAUUCUUUAUCAACAAGAACAGCAACAACAGAUUCGACACCAACAGAUUCAGGAAUGUAUUCGCCCAGCACAGCCUUCACCUCCAUUGUCAACCGCUUCAUUGGUACAGCAUGUGGAAAACCAGCCAGCAUUAAUCACUCACCAGCUUCAGAGGUUACGAAUUCAACAUGAACAGUCGAGCCCCCCUCCAAACCAUCCCAACAAUCAUCUCUUCAGCAAGUCUAAUAGCAGUCCUCCACCUGGCACCACAGCCAUCAUGCAGUCCAGCAGUUGUGCUGCAGCCUCCCCAUCUCAAUUUCAAGGCAUACCCUCCCAACAUGCUCUAUUUCAGCAGCCCAGUAAUAGCCCUCCUCCUCCAAACCUUAACCUUCCCCGAAUGAAUUUACAACCUGGAUUGCCACAGCAGUCGCAAGCACAGCCAGUUACAAUUCAAGUCCAGGAACCACCUGAUAUGCUCAGCAACAACUUGCUACAAAGUGCUGGGCAAAAUCUGCACACCACACGUCCCCGUGGAAUCAUCGGUUCAGGGAAUCAGAUUCCCCUUCAGCAGAGAGGCUUGCACAUGCCAUCUCUUGGGCUUGGACAACACAGGGCCUUGGCAAAGCAACUGAGUGCAGAUAGUGCAGAGGUAAACAGUCGCCCUAUUAGUCGAUUUUCUCCUUUGAGCUACGAUCAGUCGCACUUGCACCCUCACCUUUUCCAGGAGCAGCUUCGAUUUUUAACUAACAACUUCAGUCCAGCAACAGCUAUGUUUUCCCAAGGCAUGAAAGUUACACAGAUGGACUCACUUUCAAACUAUAACCAAACCAUAGCUGGUAAAGCCAUCAUGCAGCAUGAGCAUCAACAAGAUUUCACAGCUUCAUCACUACAUCAGGCAUUGCUUUCUCCAACGCCACCUGACUACACAAGACACCAGCAAGUUUGUCAGCAGUAUGGCCAUAUGAUUCAGGGACUGCUUUCACCCAGGCACUCGUUGACAGGCCAACAGGACUUGCGCUUACCUCCUGCUGAAAUGCCACAUUUUUUAAAACGUCACCAGCGGCAGCAACAUCAGCAAGAAUAUGACUUGCUGAGACACAUAAACCAAGGGGCGGGGGAUGCUGGAAACAUGACUGCCAACUUAUGCGGGCACCAACAGACUUUAUCAGAGCGACAAACAUUAAAUAUGCCUUAUCAUAGUACAGAACCAUAUCAUCAGCAUCAUCUACUGCAGGUCAGAGGCCAAGAUCAUAUUCCACAGCCCCCUUCGUCAUCCCAAGGCCACAGUUUUGUACAUCACCCCCCACUGAUGCAUUCGGAGAGUAUGGAAGAGGACUGUGUGAAUGAGGGGAACAGGGAGGGGUAUCCGGACAAUACUGACUCAACUGACACAUCCACUAAAUGCUGUCAAGAGAAUCCAGAGCUGCUCAAUAUUAUUAGGUGUGGGGCUGCAGAGACACGACUUGCAAAUAUAAAUCAUGUGCACAAAAUGGGUGUUUCACAGCCGUACAGUCAUCAGGCAGUCCCUGGCUUUGCAACAGGCAAAGUGCCAAGCAGAGAGUCCAUAACAGGGGAUCGAAUGGAUGGAAGGGCCCCUAUGCAGCCAAUGGAAGUAAAUGAUCACAAUGGAAUAGGUUACACAAGACAGUCAACUAAAAUUCUCCAACGGCAUCACACCAUUCAGACAAGUGAUGAUGCUUAUGACCAGGCCGAGCCUUCAGGGAUGAGUUUAUUAGCUGGAAAGGUGCUUAGCUCUGCUCGUAUGUCAGAUAUUCUUAGCCAGUCAUCGCUCACGGGGAGUCAACAACUGCAGAACAGAGAGAGUGAAGAGCAUGAUGGAAGUUCACAAAGUUCUGCCGAACCAAAUCCAGGAGAAGGUUCAGCACAUUCAAAUAGUUCUUGCUACCCUGCCAAAUGCAUCACUGACAUCCUGAAAGAACUGAAUCCACCAUUUGACAACAAACUACAUCCCUACAAACAUCCUGAUUUGGCCUUUGGAAUGGAGCAGGCAGGCGUGUAACGGAUAGUGUGGUGAUCAUCGUGUGGCAUGGAAGCUACAAGGCAUUGGACCACAAGAUCCUACAGAGGACAGUAAAAACCACCGAGAGGAUCACUGGGGUAGAUCCCCCUCUCCACCCCUAUUUGUGACAUUUACUGGGAGCGUUGCAGAUGAAGGAUCUGAAGCAUUGUUGAGUAUCCCUACCACCCAUCCCUCAGUCUCUUUGACCCACUACCAUCGGGAAGGAGGUACAGGAGCAUCAGGACUAGAACUGCCAAACUGGGUAACAGCUUCUUCCCCAGGCUGGGAGACUAAUGAAUACCCUGCUACCACCAAGGUCUUGUCACUAGGACAGUGAGCUGUUUACUGUUUACCUGUGAUGUGUACUACAUGCAUUUUGAAUUAUAUUUUAUUAACUUAUUUAUGGUAGCAUUUUAUGUGCUGUAUGUGAUAUAUGUUUUGUGGGUGCACCUUGGUCUGGAGGAACGUUGUUUUGUUUGUUAUAUAUGUGUACCGUACAGGCAAAUGAAAAUAAACUUGACUGGAAAGUUUUAGAAUGAGCAAGUGACAAAGGCCGGAAUAGGUAAGAGAGAUAGGUUCACAUCCUUCAAAUAUGUCAAUGAAUCACUCAGUUUGUCUGAUUCCAGCUCACAGCUUGAUUGAGUUCAUCCAUAAUGGUGAGAUUGAUCUUGCAAAGGAUGUCGAUGAUAUAGAAUGUUUCCUCUCCCCACUGCAAAGCACAGGAAGGUGUUGAGUUGAUGAAAGUUUGCUGGUUAAGUACUUAAGAAUGUGAGGAAGGUACCCCCAACAAAACAUCUAAUAUCAAGUCAUUUUUUAAAAAUCUAGUAGUAGAUGACUGCUUCUGCCAUAAUUCAAUAAGGGACCAGGGGAAGCAGAACUAAAUGGAAGAUGACUUUUCGCAUUAGACCUUUGCCCUUGCAGAAAUGUUCUAGUUGGUUUGAUAUCUGAAUUUUUUUGCCGGAACCUUUAAUGAGAGGUUAGAUUUAUUUGUCGCAUGUACGUCAGAACAUAUAGUGAAAUGUUUCAUUUGGGUCACAGCCCAAAACAGUCCGAAUAUGUGCUGGGGGCAGCCCACAAAUCCGGUGCCAAUAUAGCAUGUCCACACCUUAUUUAACCCGAACCCGUACAUAAUUGGAAUGUGGGGUGAAGCUGGAGCACUUGGAGGUAACCCACAGGGAGAACAUACUAACUCUUUACAGACAGCAAUGGGGAAAUUUACCCCCAUCUUACAGCUGCUGCUGUAAAGAGUUAUGUUAACAGCUAUGCCACUGUGCUGCCCCAAACUCUGUACCUUACAAAGUAAAUGAUGGUGUGGUGUAGGAAUUAGUAGCAGGAACUAUCAGGAUGUUGGUCCUUGGGGUCAUAGUUAAUAAGUGCAGUGAAGUAAUUCAGAUGUAAUCUACAUGACUGAAAUGGACCCUUGGGAACUGUGCUGAGAAAGUCCCAGUCCCAAAGAAACCUUCAAGUACUUUAACUGGGAUAUUUAGGGUUUGGUCCUCAUUCUCUGUCCACAAAGAUGGGUGAGGACAACACCCAUCACCAUGGAGUUAGCACCAGUGAUGCACCUACAGUAAUAUUUGUUCCCACCUUUACAUGUUGAGGUGACAUCUUCCCACCUAUACCCUGCAUUUUAGCAGGUUCAAUGUUCAUUGGCACAGGUAGGUGCAACUACUGAACUCAGGAUCAAGGUCCAUAACUCAGCUUUGUUUCCUCAGAUGGUGUCAUUUGCCUUCACUAAUUCUAGGCAACUGGUCAAUUUGUGUGGCUUUGAUUUGUUUCGUUAUGGGUCAGAUAGUACUCUUCCAAAUGGGAGUCUGGGAUAAAGAAAUAGAUUUUGAAUAAGUCAAGAAGGAAAACAUCAGUAAUCUUUCAGAGACCCUCUCAAAUUAGUAUUGAAGAUUUUGCUGAAAGAACAUAGAACAGAGAAAACCUACAGCACAAUACAGGCCCUUUGGCCCUCAAUGCUGUACCGAACAUGUACUUACUUUAGAAAUUACCUAGGGUUACCCAUAGCCCUCUAUUUUUCUAAAUUCCAUGUACCUAUCCAGGAGUCUCUUAAAAGACCCUAUUCUAUCUGCCUCCACAACAGUCACCAGCAGCCCAUUCCACACACUCAUCAUUCUCUGCGUAAAAAAGACUUACCCCUGACAUCCCCUCUGUAGCUACUUCCAAGCACCUUAAAACUGUGCCCUCUCAUGUUAACCAUUUCAGCCCUGGGAAAAAGCCUCUGAUUAUCCACACGAUCAAUGCCUCUCAUCAUCUUGUACACCUCUAUCAGGUCACCUGUCAUCCUCCAUCGCUCCAAGGAGAAAAGGCCGAGUUCACUCAACCUAUUCUCAUAAGGCAUGCUCCCCAAUCCAGGCAACAUCCCUGUAAAUCUCCUCUGCACCCUUUCUAUGGUUUCCACAUCCUUCCUGUAGUGAGGUGACCAGAACUGAGCACAGUACUCCAAGUGGGGUCUGACCAGGGUCCUAUAUAGCUGUAACAUCACCUCUCGGCUCUUGAACUCAAAUCCACAGCUGAUGAAGGCCAAUGCACCGUAUGGCUUCUUAACCACAGAGUCAAACUGUGCAGCAGCUUUGAGUGCCCUAUGGACUCAGACCCCAAGAUCCCUCUGAUCCACCACACUGCCAAGAGUCUUACCAUUAAUACUAUAUUCUUCCGUCAUAUUUGACCUACCAAAAUGAACCAUCUCACACUUAUCUAGUUGAAGUCCAUCUGCCACUUCUCAGCCCAGUUUUGCAUCCUAUCGAUGUUCCAUUGUAACCUCUGACAGCCCUCCACACUAACCACAACACCCCCAACCUUUGUGUCAUCAACAAAUUUACUAACCCAUCCCUCCACUUCCUCAUCCAGGUCACUUAUAAAAAUCACCAAGAGAAGGGGUCCCAGAACAGAUCUCUGAGGCACACCACUUGUCACCAACCUCCAUGCAGAAUAUGACCCGUCUACAACCACUCUUUACCUUCUGUGAGCAAGUCAAUUCUGGAUCCACAAAGCAAUGUCCCCUUGGAUCCCAUGCCUCCUUACUUUCUCAAUAAGCCUUGCAUGGGAUACCCUAUCAAAUGCCUUGCUGAAAUCCAUAUACACUACAUCUACUGCUCUACCUCCAUCAAUGUGUUUAGUCGCAUCUUCAAAAAAUUUAAUCAGGCUCAUAAGGCACAACCUGCCCUUGACAAAGCCAUGCAGACUAUUCCUGAUCAUAUUACGCCUCUCCAAAUGUUCAUAAAUCCUACCUUUCAGGAUCUUUUCCAUCAACUUACCAACCACUGAAGUAAGACUCACUGGUCUAUAAUUUCCUAGGCUAUCUCUACUCCCUUUCUUGAAUAAGGGAACAUCUGCAACCCUUCAAUCCUCAGGAACCUCUCCCGUCCUCACUGAUGAUGCAAAGAUCAUUGUCAGAGGCUCAGUAAUCUCCUCCCUCGCCUCCCACUGUAGCCUGGGGUACAUCUCGUCCGGGUUGGCUACAACAUCUUCAGGCUAAAUAAUAUGUCAAUGUUUAAGUAAACAUUGUUGAUGCAUGAUAAUAACUCAUACAUUGAUUUGUUUUAGUACCAUUGGGGAGAGGAAUAAUCAAGCUUAAAGAAAUAGAAGAUAAAAACAAUUGCUAAUAAUUUUAGCAAGACACUAAGUAGGAACUAGAUGAGUUGGUACAAAGAAAUAUAUUUAAAAGGAGUCAGAAUUAGUUGUAUUGGAAUGAAAUUGUUAAACAUAACCUUUGCACUAUUCUAGUGUUUGUUGGAAUUUGGGAGCUCUGGCCAUUGAUCUCUGCACUUCAACAUAACUAAAACUUACAACGCUCAGUUAUAGUUCUUUUGCUUAUCAGAUGAGAUAAUUGCUGCUUGAUAUAUACAAGAAUGCCUGGGAGCUAGGCAGCAGCAGAAGAAAACAAAUACAGCAAACAACAACUUAAAUAAUAACAGGAACAUGAGGUGCAAACUUAUGGAAAGCUGAGCUGCAAACUGAUCUGAAUGAAAUAAAGAAUGAUCUGAAUGUCUGCCUUGAUCAAUUGAGUGACACAGCUAGAGGUGCUAUUGAACAGAAUGAUAAUUCCAAGAUUGGUAAGCAGCUCAAACCUCCAAGCCUGGAAAGAGUUGAAGAACUGAUGCUACCAUGAAGAUAUUCAUUGUUACUCUGGCAAUCUUAAAGGAUCCCAGGGUGCACCCUUCUCACUGAAUGAGACCACUAUGAACCAAUCAAUACCUUGGUAUCAAUCUCUAUGAUAUAUGGGCUCGAAAGUCACCGAACUUUACAAUAUUGCUCAGGAAAGUAUAUAUCAUUCUAUUUUGCUCAAAAGAGUCGAGAAUCUGUUCAGUGAAAAGCUGGGAAACUGUAGUAAACACUUCUGCAAAUUGGUUGAAAACCUGAUGAUCGAAAUACCUGAUUUGGCUGAUGAAUUGGAGUUAAAACAUCCCACCUUCUUCCAAGAGUAUGUUCAACGUCUCUCGGGGUUGGUUGAGUGUCUUCGUAGAAAUCUGCAUGCAGCAGUUGGCAGAGGAAACUCUGAAACUCUCCACAAGACGCUGAUGUUGAUUCAGAGACACAUCAAAAGGUACAUUGACUAAUUUAAUCACACAUACAACAACAGCACCAAGCAAAUUGGGGAAUGUCCGAGGAGAAACCCUCAUGAAACUGAGCCAGCAAAUGAAUUUUCCCCCUUCCAUGUGGUCCACGAGAGGACCCACCAAGAAGGAUUGCAAAAGAAAACCUUAUGACAAACUGGAAUUGUUAUUGAUAAAUUGGUGAUUAAUGAGCCUUUUAUGGUUGUAGAGGUAGUCUAUGAACAUACAAACUAAACAUAAAACCACUCAUGAGAUGAAAAAGAUCUUAACCCAACCCACUCUAUAAUCAAUAUUUAUAAUUCUAGUUAGUGACCAGCUGCUUAUCCAAGGGUAUAAUGCUGCUUUCUCUGAAGUAGCCAACGGAACUGCUGAUUCAGUUUCGAGGAUUUUUGUUGUCAAAACCAGUGGAAAAUUGUAUAGCAUGUUAACUAAUGUUAUAACUGAGAUUUCGUUAAUGUAUGAAUUGAAAAUUGCUACUAAAAACAAUCACUCUCAUCUUCGAGUUCAAGUAUAUUGUCAUUCAACCAUACACAUGUAUACCGCCAAAUGAAACAUCAUUCCAACAUCAAGAACGGCACACAAAUCUUAUCAGCAUCGAAUAAAACAGCUAUAACUAUAAGAUCUGUACCUCAUUUUUGACUUUCAAACAACGUUCAGGGCUACCAUCAUCUCCAGAUCUAACAGUUGCUCCACAACUGUGCAGCUUUGCUGGUCUUGGUCAGCAUACCCUCCACAAUUGAGAGCAACUGAAUUGUGAUGAGGUUCCCACAAGGUCAGGAAUGAGUAGGCAACAAUCAUGGUGCAUCAUCAGAAGAAAUCCUCACUGGGUUCAAACCAAUGACAUUGAAGUAGAUUAAUAAAAAAUCAUACUAUCUAAAUACACAAAAGGCAAUUUUUACCUGCCCUUACACUGUCUGCAAUUGAAGUUUCAUGUACAAACAACUCUGUUGCUCUCAAAGUAAAUUCAUUAUCAAAAUAUGCAUAUGUUACCAUGUACAACUCACCUAUUUAGGUGCUGAAAAUUAAUUGGUUAGUGAGAGAGAAAUUAGAUUUAUUUUGAUAAUAAACUGUUAUUGGAGGGCAAAAGUUGAUUUGCACAUUUUGAAGUUCUUUAGUGCUGGAAGAUGCCUAACAAUAAACCAUUUGAUCAUCGUGGUCUGCUUUACAUAAUUGUGUGAGUCAUGUGGUCAGAGAACCGAGUUGGCCAUAAUCACAAUCUGCAAUUUUCCUUGCUGUAAGAAUUUGAAUAAACAAUCU